AGAACGAACGCUGGCGGCAUGCCUAAUACAUGCAAGUCGAACGAACACUUCGGUGUUAGUGGCGCACGGGUGCGUAACGCGUGGGAAUCUGCCCUUGGGUUCGGAAUAACAGUUGGAAACGACUGCUAAUACCGGAUGAUAUCGAAAGAUCAAAGAUUUAUCGCCCAUGGAUGAGCCCGCGUAGGAUUAGCUAGUUGGUGAGGUAAAGGCUCACCAAGGCGACGAUCCUUAGCUGGUCUGAGAGGAUGAUCAGCCACACUGGGACUGAGACACGGCCCAGACCUCCGUACGGGAGGCAGCAGGUAGGGAAUAGUUAGGACAAGUGGGCGCGAAGCCUAGACUCCC
RNAcentral lists this ribosomal RNA (345 nucleotides) under uncultured soil bacterium. RNAcentral describes it as "bacterial SSU rRNA". It matches the Rfam family "Bacterial small subunit ribosomal RNA", at positions 26 to 392 of the family's 1533-position model. The record is from RNAcentral.